AUUGAGUAAAAUAAAUAAAUAAAAUAGAGAUAACAUCUUCUGAUUCUUCUCCUUCGCUCACACAAAAAUCCUUCAUCCCAACACGCUUGCCGUCAAUCCCAAUUGCCCACAGAAAUCCAAAUCGAAGAAAUCCCCACCUUGAACCACGAAAUCAGCUAACACACUCACCGAAACACAAUCACCUCACACACUCGAGAUUGAACGAAAUUCUUCAAUCGCCUACACACGCCAACUCAAACGAUAGACCAGAAAAAUCACAGAUCGGAGACAAACGGGGCAGCAUGCGAGAGAGAGGAUGGUGAUCAGAGAGAGGAGGAUGUUAGAGUCGGUUCACGGUGAAGGAUCGACGGUGUUAAAGCAGUGACAAUGGUGUAUCGAAACCCAAUCUCAGGUAUUCAUCUUGAAUGUGGAGGUUCUAUCUCAGUUUCAAAGCAUUCUCAAAGAGUGGACGGCGACAUCACCAGAUCGGAGGACGAAAAUUAAGAAUGAAUUGGAAUCCGGAAGAGGUCGGACGCCAACUACAACUACCAGAGAGUGCACAGUUCGAAACCACAUAUCAUUCAGAUGAUAUUUUCUAGAGCCACAACAAAAAUCUACUUCAAAAAGAAUUCAAUUCAUAAACGCGGACACAAUGAACCUUAAUGGCAGAGUUGAAGAUCUUGGGAUGAAGAUUAUCAAGGGUAGUAAUGAUAGGCACCAUGAAUACAGGUGAACUUUCUGUUCAUAACAAAGAAAUGAGGUAAACAACAUUGAAAUUUCAGUUUCUGCCUCUUGUUGAUAGCCAAAAGAAUUGGAUACCAGUCUAUAUUUGAUAAUAAAAUGAUCUAUUUUGAGCUA
Molecule: long non-coding RNA, 837 nt
Organism: Salvia splendens (bonfire salvia)
Lineage: Eukaryota; Viridiplantae; Streptophyta; Magnoliopsida; Lamiales; Lamiaceae
Exons: 3
Source: RefSeq, a predicted model, not a curated record